This is a long non-coding RNA of Cyprinus carpio carpio, 1720 nucleotides long. NCBI's taxonomy places the organism in Eukaryota, Metazoa, Chordata, Actinopteri, Cypriniformes, Cyprinidae. The record is from Ensembl.
GUGUAACGAGUAUUUAACCCGUCUUGUAGGGGAAGAUGUAUUAGUGCUGCCACGGAAGACUGAAUAACGAAAAGAUCUUAGUCUCCGCUUCCAGUGCUUUUAGUCUCACUACACACUAAUUGUAUGUAUGUUGUGUUCUACUUUAUUGGAAUGUACAGACCGACGAGGGUAGGCUUCAGCUUAAGUAAUGUCACUGGCUUCCUGAAGUAAAAGUAAAAGGUGUGAGAAAAUCUAAUAUACUCCUCCCUCCUCUGGUCUAAUAAAGUAGCUGAGACGCCCCUACUCCUUGACAGCUCUAAACAAAAAAUACAAUGAGGUAAGUAUGAAAAUUAAACAAUAUUUAUUAUCUGUGUCUUUUCUUCUUUCUUGUAAUCAAGUGUUAAUUAAGGGUUAAUAAAAUAAAAUAGAGUAAAUAAAAUAAAUAAAAAAAUGUAUGGUCUUUGUGUUUUCUUUCAAACCCAGUACAACCCAAUCACUUUCAAUGUAAAAACUCUAAACUUUUUUACUUGUACAAAGAUAAACCCCACUUCAAAAUAAAAUAAAAAAAACACUUUUCUAAACACCACUUAUGAUGAAUUUUAAGUUUUCAAAAUGAUCAACUUCGAAUGAUCAGACAAUCACAUUUGAGGAGAAAAACAACAUCAAUAUAUACGAUGCAAUUUCACAUCUGGAAGAGCACUCACGUGAAAUGUCCCUUUAUGUACUCACUCAGUUCACUUUAGGUUCUGUGAUUCAACCGAACUCUCACAGUUCAAAGUUCCUCGGAUCAAAAAAUAUAAAAAAAAUAAGGAAUUGAGAUGAGUUCUUGACGUAGCGUGCGUUGAAAUUAUCUUGAGAUUUCGUAGCAAUGUCACUCAAGCUCAAUGAAAUGUCCCACAAAAAAAUGAAUCAAAAAUGAGUCGAAAGCGAAUGAAUCAAACUGAGGUGAAUCAAAAAUGAAAUGAACCAACAGGGAUGUAUUAAACUGCGAUACACCACUGAGAUGUCAAACUGAGAUGUCGUUGGAUGGCAGGGUAACACAAAAUAGUCUUAAACUCAAAUCUUCUGGAAACCCCCCCCCCCGAUGUUCAGCACCAACUGCAGACAGCAAUUUGCAUCUCACGUGCGAUAACACGUGCCGAACACAAAAAUGCGCGUGACCAAACUUCCUGAAACGUUAGUUUGUACGAGUGCUUCUCAAUCAAGAUGGAAAAAGUCCAAAACUUAAACAAAAAUGUGGAGGAAGAAAAAAAAUAAAAUCUCUUCAAUCGUCACUAAUCAAGCUAAACUUGUAAGUUAAAUACACUCACAGUUCUUGUAGCCUUCACAAACAUUACUGCGUCACUCCAGCAGUCCAACGCAAUGCGAUUCACAGAUCAAAACUCACAAAAAAACUACGAAACGCGGGACACAGCUCACAAAAAUUACUGCGUCACUCCAGCAGUCCAACGCAAUGCGAUUCACAGAUCAAAACUCACAAAAAAACUACGAAACGCGGGACACAGCUCACAAAAAUUACUUGAUGUUGUCCUUUAUUCGAUCUAAGCCCCGAUUAACUUUCGUUUAAGUCACUUUAUCGGACGAGCUUCUCAAAUACAACACUCACUUUUUCUGUGUGUCACACAUACACCCGCGUUCUUCUUCUCCUCGCUGACUCUCAUCGCCGAAAACCAAUCCGCCCGUCAAAAUAAAAGUCCCCCAAAAUAAUAAUGAUUUUUUUAGAUAAUAUACACCCGUUACA